Rhagoletis zephyria (snowberry fruit fly) is the source of this 1818-nucleotide RNA transcript. RefSeq lists it as uncharacterized. Lineage: Eukaryota; Metazoa; Arthropoda; Insecta; Diptera; Tephritidae. The record is from RefSeq and is a predicted model, not a curated record.
GCAUAUACCAAAAAACAAACGAAAAACUAACGAAAAACAAACUAGGUUGUUAAAAACAGUCCGGCCAACUUGUAUUUCGUUAGGUUUUUUUGACAGAUGGCUGUAUUUCGUUAGUUUUUUUACACAGCUGUUUGCAUUUUGACAUACGAGAGAUUUUCUAAGCAUACAAUGGAAAUACAAGUUUUAUCUAUUGCAACAAAUUGUUUGCUAAACGCUGCUGCCUUAAUACAGCGUAGGAAAAAGAAAAAGACUAAAAAAAAAUAUUCUGCGCAAUGGCUUUUAAAAAGAGAACUGGAAGGAUUUAGCCAUAAACUGUUAAAGGAAAUUGAGUGCGAGGAUUCAAUCCUUCACAAAAAUAUCUUAAGAAUGACUCCAGCUCAGUUUGCAUUCUUAUUAGAAAAAGUACGCCCCUAUAUUAGCAAGCAGGAUACAAAAUUCAGGAACUGCAUAGGAGCUGCGGAACGGCUGCAGCUGACAUUGCGAUAUCUAUCCACUGGUGAAACCCAAAGGUCACUUCAAUUGCCGUUCCGAAUUCAGCAGUCAACCAUUUCCAGAAUUUUAAAGGAAUCAAUUCCCGCAAUAUAUUUGGCGUUAAGGGAGGAGUAUUUGAAAUUCCCUGCAAGUGAGCAAGAUUGGCGUGAUAUUGCAAAAGACUUUUAUCAGAUGUGGGGAUUCCCGAACUGCAUCGGCGCUUUAGAUGGAAAGCAUUGCAGAAUACUGCCAGUGAGGAAAGCAGGAUCUACGUAUUUCAAUUACAAAGGAUACCAUUCAUUUGUAUUGAUGGCAAUCGCUGAUGCCCACUAUCGUUUUAUUUAUGCUGAUGUCGGUGUUAAUGGGAGAGUGGGUGAUGCUGGAAUUUGGUUGAACUCGGACCUGAAAUACGCUAUUGAAAAAAAUGAAGUACAUAUACCAGCCCCAUGCACGCUCCCUUUCAUGUCAACUCCCUCGCCUUUUGUGCUUUUAGCCGAUGAUGCCUUUGCUCUAAAAGACUACUUAAUGAAACCUUACUCUCAUCUAAGACUAUCACCAAGCGAACUUAAAUACAACAACAUACUUUCGAGGAACAGGCGCGUUGUUGAAAAUGCUUUUGGCAUUCUUGCGAACCGUUUUCGAGUUUUAUUUUCACCCAUCCAUCGCGCUCCAGCUGCAGCCAUUCAGAUUGUAUUAUCUUGCGUAUGUGUGCACAACUUUUUAAGAACAGAAAAUGUGAAAAAGAAAACUACGUUUGACGCCAUUUCCGAAAGUGAAAUAGAUGCAAUAAUAGAUAACAACUAUACAACAACCGCUUCUGAAAGAAAUGCGUCAAAAAGGAGCGCUGAAGAAAUAAGAAAAACUUUCGAAAACUAUUUUUCUGCGGUAAAUUAAAAUAUCGUUUCAUUGUUUAAAUAAACCAAAACUUUUCGUGUUGGAAAUUUUCCAUACUAGUAGAAGCAACAAUUGGUUUAUUUGGUGAUUAAAUAAAUGAGUACAAUGUCUUCAAUUUAUGUACAUACCUACUAGCUAAUACCUGCCUACUUAGCGCAACCAAAUAUUUUAAUGAAAGUAAUAAUAAGGUAAAAAAGUGGUAAGAAUAAUCAAAAUACAUAUUCACUCGGCAAAAUAAUAACUCUGCCUCCUUUCGUAAAGUUUGACUAUUUUCCUUUUGUUUAUUGAACUUUAAUAAUUUACUUAUAAAAAUACACCCCAUUAAUUAAAAAUCUUUAAACUUGGCAAUAUGUGGUGCGUUUAUAAUUAUGACACGGGAUGUAUAGUUAACUCUACAAACAAAACCAUAUCAAUAAAACUUUUAAACUUUAAACGAAAUUCAGGAAAACUCAU